UUGAAGAAUUGGCAACUAUCGAGAGAGAUUCACUUCGAUCAAUAUUCAUCAAACCCCAGUACUCUAGAGAAGAAAUUGAUGAAGUGCGUUCCGAGUGGGCAGAAUGCAUACAAGACUAUAUUUAUGACUAG
Molecule: long non-coding RNA, 131 nt
Organism: Zingiber officinale
Lineage: Eukaryota; Viridiplantae; Streptophyta; Magnoliopsida; Zingiberales; Zingiberaceae
Exons: 2
Source: RefSeq, a predicted model, not a curated record